ACAUGCUUACAUCAUGGCAUUAAUGCAAUGGAUCUCAUUAGAACUCCAAAAUUAAGCAUUCUUGGGAUAGAGUACUACUGGGAUGGGUGACCGCCUAGGAAGUCCUAGUGUCUUACAUGUC
This is a non-coding RNA of Picea glauca (white spruce), 121 nucleotides long. The record is from Rfam. NCBI's taxonomy places the organism in Eukaryota, Viridiplantae, Streptophyta, Pinopsida, Pinales, Pinaceae.